Molecule: long non-coding RNA, 1304 nt
Organism: Papaver somniferum (opium poppy)
Lineage: Eukaryota; Viridiplantae; Streptophyta; Magnoliopsida; Ranunculales; Papaveraceae
Exons: 8
Source: RefSeq, a predicted model, not a curated record
AGUGAUUUUCUAGGUUUGUUUUUUGAUUCACUGUGGAAUAAUGUACAUUUGAUUUGGAUCGAUGGAUAAGGUCUUACUACUGAUCUCACAUGGUAUCGUUAUCAAUUCGACGUUUUUAUGAUCUAAUUUUCCUGAAGAGAAUACACUACUGGAUGGAAGGAACAUGAAUUAAUUGUUGGUAUAACAAUAUUUUUAUCAAGGUUUAUCAUGUCGAACUGAAAAGAACCAUCCAACUCAGAAAAUGGUCCACAAUACUUUCCACAAGGGUUGCAGCUUUUGGUCAUACAAGCAAGAAGACUGAUGGCUAAGUUGGAAACUUACACGAAACUUACAAAUGUUGUGGUUGUUGCGGGUGCUUUCUCAUUGGUGGUACCUUUUAUGAGCUCCACUUUAAGGAAAAUUACGUGUUCAAUGAGCGGCGGCAGACUGCAUGGAUUAUCCCUUCCUUCUGGCAUGCCUUAUUGUGUUGCAUAUGUGCACAUUGGCCACCAUCGCAGAAUUCAACAGGGUUUGUUACGUCAAAGAUAGCUUGCUGUGCUCAAGGGCCAUCUAAUGGAAUAAGGCUUUUGCACAAAUGCAUCAAACCAUUGGCUUGACAGAGAUGUUCUUCAAAUGUGUUCCCAGAUCCGCACCAGCUUAUCCAAACAUCUCGCCACAACUACCUACAAAACUUUCUCCAGGAUAUGUGAGGCUGAAGAAGGAAAACCUUGGAUGACCUACUUCUCGAAAACGGAACGAAUUAGAUUCCAUGGGGACCAUUUGAUUUUACCAGUUUGGACGUGUUAAUGCUUGGUGACAAUGGCCUUUAAGUGAACAAGCUAAUACAACAUAGGAGGAAAGAAACAACAAGCAGGAGGAGGAUAAAGAACCUUUUCUUCCAUUCUCGAGUAACUCGAUAGGUGCUGCUGAUAAUGGUGGUACAUAAAUAUCGUCUAGAUCAUUGUUGGUUUUCAUCCUCCAUUGGUUGCUUAUGAUCUUCAACGCAAUUUGAUAAAAUCGUUGUGAGCUAUGCUACAGUUUCAGUGAAAAGUUAUAAAACUUUCUCAUUUAAUUUUAUAUCUUCCAUCAUAAAUAUGUAAUUAGGCGAAAACAUAAAGAACUAGCAAUUCCAAGGACUUUGCAACGAAUGACUACCAACAAGAUUUUCGUUUUCAUCCCAUUCCCCGUUGAAUCCACCUUCUUUUGUUUGGAAAGAGAAAAGAGUCCUGGUGAUGGAAACAUAAGGUGUUGGAUUACUGUGAUUGAUAAAUAUACCUGGCAUUGAUUAUUUUUUUAGAAAUAUUUUUGGGAUUGUUUUCAGUUAA